Molecule: ribosomal RNA, 450 nt
Filed under: uncultured bacterium
Lineage: Bacteria
Description: partial 16S ribosomal RNA
Rfam family: Bacterial small subunit ribosomal RNA
Source: RNAcentral
GUGGGGAAUAUUGGACAAUGGGCGAAAGCCUGAUCCAGCCAUGCCGCGUGUGUGAAGAAGGUCUUCGGAUUGUAAAGCACUUUAAGUUGGGAGGAAGGGCAGUAAGUUAAUACCUUGCUGUUUUGACGUUACCGACAGAAUAAGCACCGGCUAACUUCGUGCCAGCAGCCGCGGUAAUACGAAGGGUGCAAGCGUUAAUCGGAAUUACUGGGCGUAAAGCGCGCGUAGGUGGUUUUGUAAGUUGGAAGUGAAAUCCCCGGGCUCAACCUGGGAACUGCCUCCAAAACUGCAUGACUAGAGUACGGUAGAGGGUAGUGGAAUUUCCUGUGUAGCGGUGAAAUGCGUAGAUAUAGGAAGGAACACCAGUGGCGAAGGCGACUACCUGGACUGAUACUGACACUGAGGUGCGAAAGCGUGGGGAGCAAACAGGAUUAGAAACCCCAGUAGUCC